UUUGACUUAUGAUAAAUCUCAUGGCUAUUUCUUUGGUGUUUUGAUGAGGUUUUAGGAAAUUGACCAACCAUAAUUUAAUUUAAUGCAUAUUUUUAUUAUUUUUAAUUGAUUAAAUGCCAAAUAAAUUGUGUAGAGUCAUUUUAAUUGACUUUGUGAGUUUGACUUGUGUUGUUGGGCCUUGGUCAAGGUUGAUUUGACUUUGCUAGGUUAAGAUCAUUGGAUUUAGGGGAUUGAUGGAAUG
RNAcentral lists this long non-coding RNA (241 nucleotides) under Lathyrus oleraceus (garden pea). RNAcentral's name for it is "Pisum sativum (pea) long non-coding RNA (PSAT_LNC007558)". Lineage: Eukaryota; Viridiplantae; Streptophyta; Magnoliopsida; Fabales; Fabaceae. The record is from RNAcentral.